Molecule: ribosomal RNA, 459 nt
Filed under: uncultured bacterium
Lineage: Bacteria
Description: partial 16S ribosomal RNA
Rfam family: Bacterial small subunit ribosomal RNA
Source: RNAcentral
CCUACGGGCGGCAGCAGUGAGGAAUAUUGGUCAAUGGCCGAGAGCCUGAACCAGCCAAGUCGCGUGAGGGAAGACGGCCCUACGGAUUGUAAACCUCUUUUGUCGGGGAGCAAAGCGAACCACGUGUGGCUCACUGAGAGUACCCGAAGAAAAAGCAUCGGCUAACUCCGUGCCAGCAGCCGCGGUAAUACGGAGGAUGCGAGCGUUAUCCGGAUUUAUUGGGUUUAAAGGGUGCGCAGGCGGAGGAGCAAGUCAGCGGUAAAAUUGCGGGGCUCAACCCCGUCGAGCCGUUGAAACUGGUGUACUGGAGUGGGCGAGAGGUAUGCGGAAUGCGUGGUGUAGCGGUGAAAUGCAUAGAUAUCACGCAGAACUCCGAUUGCGAAGGCAGCAUACCGGCGCGCAACUGACGCUCAUGCACGAAAGCGUGGGUAUCGAACAGGAUUAGAUACCCGAGUAGUC